UGUUAGCUGCGCCCUCGGAUCGAAAUGU
Molecule: small RNA, 28 nt
Filed under: Bombyx mori (domestic silkworm)
Lineage: Eukaryota; Metazoa; Arthropoda; Insecta; Lepidoptera; Bombycidae
Description: ovarian small RNA-36026
Source: RNAcentral